GGAGGAAACUCUGAUGCAGCAACGCCGCGUGGAGGAUGACGCAUUUCGGUGUGUAAACUCCUUUUAUGUGGGAAGAUAAUGACGGUACCAUAUGAAUAAGCACCGGCUAACUCCGUGCCAGCAGCCGCGGUAAUACGGAGGGUGCAAGCGUUACUCGGAAUCACUGGGCGUAAAGCGCGCGCAGGCGGCCAUUUAAGUUGGAUGUGAAAGCCUACGGCUCAACCGUAGAACUGCAUCCAAAACUAUUUGGCUAGAGUGUGGGAGAGGAAGAUGGAAUUACUUGU
This 284-nucleotide ribosomal RNA is filed under the name uncultured Campylobacterota bacterium. Its description in RNAcentral is "uncultured Epsilonproteobacteria bacterium partial 16S ribosomal RNA". It matches the Rfam family "Bacterial small subunit ribosomal RNA", at positions 373 to 674 of the family's 1533-position model. The record is from RNAcentral. Lineage: Bacteria; Pseudomonadati; Campylobacterota.